UAUUUAUAAGGUUGUCUCUGUAUGAUGAAUUGAAGCCAGGAGCUUUUGCAAAACACACCAAACUCACCAAAAACAACAGGCAUUGUAUAUAAACUUUUGACAUUAUUUCAAUUCAUAUUUUUAAGUAUCUGUUCAGAAAACAGUAAAAGAAAUAUUAAUUUUACUUUUUGUAUAUAAACUUUUGAAAUUUGUAAGUGGAGAUUGUGUUUUAGGUUUGUUCCUUCAAAAUUUGAGGUAAUUUUCAGGAAGCAUGCAUGAACAUACCCAGAG
RNAcentral lists this long non-coding RNA (270 nucleotides) under Vigna radiata. RNAcentral describes it as "long non-coding RNA (VRAD_LNC002698)". The record is from RNAcentral. Lineage: Eukaryota; Viridiplantae; Streptophyta; Magnoliopsida; Fabales; Fabaceae.